UGGUGACAUGCCGUACACAGUUUGCACAGACGGAGCUACUUUUUCAUCCAAAGCGAAUAAACUAGUGAACUUAGAGGAGAAAACAAACUAAAGUAUCGAUCAUAAACCACUACCAACGUUUGGAUCGAUAUCGGCAUCGAUCUGCCCACCCUUGUCUCCUGGAUCGUAGCUGAGAUCAGCGUUUCCUGUGUUUGGAAAGAGUUCCAGCUUCAUCACCGAGUUUCUCUCGGUUUGUGGGCUCAUCUAAAGCUGAUCAGCAGGAGGAGAAGAGUCUGACGGAGCAGCAGAGGAACAUUUUCAGCCAUCUGGACUCAGCUGAGUCACUACAGAGGAAACAAUGAGCUCAACACAGAAGGACCAACAUGGACCGAGAAGUCAGCGCUCUCAGGAGGCCGACAAACCUCACAGAAGAAGGAGAGAGAAAACAUACACCUGUGACGAGUGUGGGAUGGGUUUUAUUGGGAAGGAUUCACUAAAACAGCAUCAGGUCAUCCACACUGGAGAGAGACCGUUCAGCUGUGACUUGUGUGGAAAGACUUUUUCCUGGAAGGUUGCUCUGAAACAGCACCAAGUCAUCCACAGUGGAGUUAAAGCGUACAGCUGUGAUCAGUGUGGCAGAGCUUUUACUCACAGUAGCCACUUACAGAGGCAUCUAGUUAGUCACUCUGGAAUUAAGGCAUACAGCUGUGACAUCUGUGGAAAAACCUUCAGUCGGAUAGAGUACCGAAAUAUACACCUACGCAUUCACACCGGACAUGAUGUGUACUUCUGUGAUCAGUGUGGCAAACAUUUUACAACAGACGCACAGUUACAACGCCACAUGUUUACCCACACUGAGGAAAGACCUUAUAAAUGUGAUCUGUGUGAGAAGACUUUUAAAUCUCCACAUUACCUGAGACGACACCAACAGAUCCACACCAGAAAGAGACUCUCCAAGCACAGUUACUGUGAGAAGCAGAGUGACACAGAUGGAUCCAGUUCUCAACCCUGUCAUCACUGUGGUGGUGGGAAAGUGACCUGUGUGGAAAAACUUUCAGUUACCAAGAAACCCUGCAAAUACAUCAACGUAAACACACUGGAGACAAGCUGAACUACUGCAAAGAAUGUGGGAGAAGCUUCACCACAUCAAGUGGAUUAAAACCACAUGAACUCAUUCACAGUGGGACCAAAAAGCACCUCUGUGAUCAGUGUGGGUCAUCUUUCAUUACUGCAAGUGGGCUUAAAACACACAAACGAGUCCACACAAGAGAGAAACCAUAAAAGUGCAGACACUGUGACAAAAACUUCUCACGGUCAGAUCCUUGGAGCCGUCAUGAACGUACACACAUGGAAGGAAACUACAGCUGUGACCAGUGUGACAAGAGCUUCAGGAAUCUCAGUUCAUACUCCAAACACAAACGAUCCCACGUUACUAAUAAACUGUUUCACUGUUACCAAUGUGCCAAAACAUUCACUAAAUUAUCUGCUCUGUGCAAACAUCAGCGUGAUCACUCAGGGCUGAAAUCACUCCCAUCACAGUGAAUCUGAAGAGACAGAAAGAUCCUCUUCUGGUUUCAGGGUCAGACUCAAAACCCUUGAGAUCAGGCUCCACAGAGUUCAUGUGGAAUCUCCUGUAAAGAUCUGAUGAGGCAGCUAUGAAUGAAAAUGGUUCCCUAGUCUCAUUUUAAGCUUUCUAAACUGUUCUGCUUCAGUGUCCGUGUCGAGUGGUUCGCUUUGUUCCAGCAGUUGGAUGAAGACGUUUGAGCUGUGAUUUCAUUUCCUGUAUUUCAGAGUAAAGACUGAAGUGACAAAUGGAAACAUGUUUACAGUCAGAGUCAGAUGAACUGUUUUCAGUUGCACAUAUGAAGGUUUAUCAGAGGAGGAGACUUGGCUGUUCUCCACUCACACUGAACAGGGUUCCUGCAGCUUAUUAAAAAUCUGACCUGGAAGUUAUUAAAAAUUUCCUUGUAACACUGAGUUACAGUAGGGGGGCUGCUCCGUAAUCCAGUUCAAUAACACAUCUCCUGACAUUAAACAUAAGCUUAUUUAAUAACGUGGAUCUCUUUUUGUCCAGAGUUUUAUUCAGAGGCAGCAACUGUAGUAAGAAUUGACUCAGAUCUUUACAGAUCUUCAAGUUCAUUUUCUUGAUAUUGCAGAGCCCAGAAUUUAGAUAUUUUUAGACAAUCUCAUAAAAGAUGCAUGUAUGUCAAGAGAUUUAUUCUAAAAGACACUUCUUCAGCUGAGAGUCUGAGGGUAGAAACAAACACACACGCUGCAGUUUUUUCUUGCAAGGGUGGCCACAGAGCACUCAUACGAGAGUGGGGGCCCUGUGAUGUGCGCUCUGUUCUUGCACCUGUCUGUAUUUAUAUACAAAAGUAAUACAAUAGUGAAUACGUCUGUUCAUAGACAGAGGAAUGCGUGUGUGCGUGUGUGUGUGAUUCUGAAGGACGCGGCCCCUCUUCUUGUUAGGAAGCACAGAUCAGAGUGUCCAGCUCUCCUCUUCCUGGUAGGGAGUGAAGAUAUCACUGUGGGAAGAAACUUACAAAAGAGAACAGAACAAGUCUUGUAGUGAACAACAGUCUAAGUCAUCAAAAGGUCAUUAUGCAGUAUUUUAUCAUAUGCAAACUUAUAUCAUUAAAAGCUUAUACUGACUACUAAGUACAAUUCUCCAUUGACAAUGUAAGUGCAGUCUGUUGUUUUAUAUUUGAGAAAAAAGGUUGAAAGAGCUUUAAAAUCCUUUAUUUUUCCUUAAACUUGCUGUAGGUAUUAAAACUUAUGAUUUUGUGUUUAAGAUGUCAAAACUAUUAACUUUGGGAAUUCAUUUUUUAAAGUUGUGGUUUCAUUUGCUCAGAGUUCAUCAACGUUUUCCUCAUACAAGGUGGGAUGGAUCCAUGCUUUUAUGCUGUUUAAGACAAAUUCUGAAAGCUGAACGUGUUAGGUUUUGUAUUAUGAUUGUCAUUUAUGCUUAGAAAUAUUUACUCAUAUAUGCUUAGAAGUAUAUAAUUAUUUGUAGAUUGAAAGAAUGUCUCAUCCUAGGAGGUCUGUAACAACUCUGUGUAGCAUGAAGAGGGGAGUGUGUUCACUCCUCCUCAGAGUGUUCUGGUAUAGAUCACACGUCUCCUAGGAGAGGUCGUAUCUUCUCUUGCUGAUAUAUGGUAUAGCAAACACACGUAUAUCUGUUUGAGUCUAAGAGCCUUUUGUUUAGAUGGACCACUAGACUCCUGGCACCAGCUUUGGGGAGUCACAUUACACACACACACACACACACACACACACGGUAUUCUUUGUUCACAUGUAUACCUAUGUAAGAUGUCAUAUGUUAAUGAACCUAUGCAUAUUCAUGUAA
Pelmatolapia mariae (spotted tilapia) is the source of this 3325-nucleotide long non-coding RNA. RefSeq lists it as uncharacterized. The record is from RefSeq and is a predicted model, not a curated record. The transcript has 4 exons. Lineage: Eukaryota; Metazoa; Chordata; Actinopteri; Cichliformes; Cichlidae.